RNAcentral lists this ribosomal RNA (252 nucleotides) under uncultured bacterium. Its description in RNAcentral is "partial 16S ribosomal RNA". It matches the Rfam family "Bacterial small subunit ribosomal RNA", at positions 524 to 776 of the family's 1533-position model. The record is from RNAcentral.
GACAGAGGGUGCAAACGUUGUUCGGAAUUACUGGGCGUAAAGCGCGUGUAGGCGGCUAUGCAAGUCGGACGUGAAAUCCCACGGCUCAACCGUGGAAGUGCGCUCGAAACUGCGUAGCUAGAGUCCUGGAGAGGAAGGUGGAAUGCUUGGUGUAGCGGUGAAAUGCGCAGAUAUCAGGAAGAACACCCGUGGCGAAGGCGGUUCUCUGGAACGCAACUGACGCUGAGACGCGAAAGCGUGGGAGCAAACAGG